UACGAAGGGGGCUAGCGUUGCUCGGAAUCACUGGGCGUAAAGGGCGCGUAGGCGGACUUUUAAGUCAGGGGUGAAAUCCCGGGGCUUAACCUCGGAACUGCCUUUGAUACAGCAUAUCUUGAGUCCGAUAGAGGUGGGUGGAAUUCCUAGUGUAGAGGUGAAAUUCGUAGAUAUUAGGAAGAACACCGGUGGCGAAGGCGGCCCACUGGAUCGGUACUGACGCUGAGGUGCGAAAGCGUGGGGAGCAAACAGG
This 253-nucleotide ribosomal RNA is filed under the name uncultured bacterium. RNAcentral describes it as "partial 16S ribosomal RNA". It matches the Rfam family "Bacterial small subunit ribosomal RNA", at positions 524 to 776 of the family's 1533-position model. The record is from RNAcentral.